GUUCUGGUGGCGUAGCCCGGUAGCGCGCCCCGCUCACACCGGGGAGGUCGCGAGUUCAAGUCUCGCCUGGAACA
Molecule: non-coding RNA, 74 nt
Organism: Lodderomyces parapsilosis
Lineage: Eukaryota; Fungi; Ascomycota; Pichiomycetes; Serinales; Debaryomycetaceae
Source: the annotation of a RefSeq genome assembly